RNAcentral lists this ribosomal RNA (253 nucleotides) under uncultured bacterium. RNAcentral's name for it is "partial 16S ribosomal RNA". It matches the Rfam family "Bacterial small subunit ribosomal RNA", at positions 524 to 776 of the family's 1533-position model. The record is from RNAcentral.
UACGUAGGUGGCAAGCGUUGUCCGGAUUUACUGGGCGUAAAGGGCGUGCAGGCGGUUUGUUAAGUGCAGGGUGAAAGCUCCCGGCUCAACUGGGAGAGGUCCUUGCAUACUGGCGAACUCGAGGGAGGCAGAGGAAAGUGGAAUUCCCGGUGUAGUGGUGAUAUGCGUAGAUAUCGGGAGGAACACCUGUGGCGAAGGCGGCUUUCUGGGCCUUACCUGACGCUGAGACGCGAAAGCAUGGGGAGCGAACCGG